UACGGGGGGGGCAAGCGUUGUUCGGAAUUACUGGGCGUAAAGGGCGCGUAGGCGGCCUGCUAAGUCGGAUGUGAAAUCCCUCGGCUCAACCGAGGAACUGCAUCCGAUACUGGCGGGCUUGAAUCCGGGAGAGGGAUGUGGAAUUCCAGGUGUAGCGGUGAAAUGCGUAGAUAUCUGGAGGAACACCGGUGGCGAAGGCGGCAGCCUGGACCGGUAUUGACGCUGAGGCGCGAAAGCUAGGGGAGCAAACGGG
RNAcentral lists this ribosomal RNA (253 nucleotides) under uncultured bacterium. RNAcentral's name for it is "partial 16S ribosomal RNA". It matches the Rfam family "Bacterial small subunit ribosomal RNA", at positions 524 to 776 of the family's 1533-position model. The record is from RNAcentral.